RNAcentral lists this unclassified non-coding RNA (231 nucleotides) under plant metagenome. RNAcentral's name for it is "partial contains small subunit ribosomal RNA, internal transcribed spacer 1, and 5.8S ribosomal RNA". The record is from RNAcentral.
UCUCCGUUGGUGAACCAGCGGAGGGAUCAUUACUGAGUUACCGCUCUACAACCCUUUGUGAACAUACCUAACUGUUGCUUCGGCGGGCAGGGGUCCCUCGCGGAUCUCUCCCGGCAACGCCCUCACGUGCGGAGCGCCCGCCGGAGGAUACCAAACUCUAUUUUAACGACGUUUCUUCUAAGUGGCACAAGCAAAUAAUUAAAACUUUUAACAACGGAUCUCUUGGUUCUG